This 921-nucleotide long non-coding RNA is filed under the name Ananas comosus (pineapple). RNAcentral describes it as "long non-coding RNA (ACOM_LNC001332)". The record is from RNAcentral. Lineage: Eukaryota; Viridiplantae; Streptophyta; Magnoliopsida; Poales; Bromeliaceae.
UAUGUAUAUAAAUAUUAGAUAUUUAUAUACUAUCUAUUACGACAAGCGCACAAAAAGAAAUAAAAAACGGUGAAUGUAAAGUAGACAAAUCAAAAGCAGAAAAUAAAAUGAGCACAAAAAUUUACGUGAAAAAUCCGUUGCAUGAAGAAAACUGUGGAUGAAGCAGGAGAGAACUUUACUAGGAAAAAAAAAAAUGGAGUACAAUAGUAUGAAGAUUACAAAAUGCUGCAUCGCGUUUGGGGCAAAAAAGGAGGAGAAAAAUUUAUUAACGAAUUCUUCAUUAUCGGAUCAGAUCCUUAUAUACCCAUUAAAGACAUUCAUUUUUUCUUCACAAUUCAUUUUCCAAAAAAAUCUUGUUGCAUGGGGCCCAAGAUCAAAGUGGAUAACCAAAUUUUGAGACACCUCUAACAUUAUCAAUAGUAUACUAGCUCGAUUACGAAUUUUUUUUAUUUUUUGAUAAAAUCAUAUAAAUUAUAUUUCAACACACUCACUAUGUUUUGAACUACUGUCACCUCUAUAUUAUUAAGUCGCUUUCGAUGUUGGAACUUUCAAAUAGACAAUUGGCUCUAUCAAACUCAAUUUAGAGUAUAUAAAGCAUGUACAUAAAUGAGAUUUUUAUUUUCAAUCAUUGAUUUUGAGUUCCUUCAAUGAUCACUAGAUAAAUGAUAUCAAAAAAAAUUUAUAUUCUAAAGAUUUUCGAUACCCUACAUCAAGCGUAACGGAGCCGACCGUUGAUUCGAAAGUUUCAGUAUCGAAAACAACUUGAUAGCACGGAUUUCACCGUACUUUUUUUUUUUGAGAGGUAGGUAGCACGUUAUCCGUUUCGCUUAUUUCAUUUAGAAAUAAACUUAAUUGGAAAUGUGAAUCAACUAGGAUUUUACCGUACUUUUAAAAGCAUAUAAGUUGGACACUGUCUCUCUA